This 590-nucleotide ribosomal RNA is filed under the name Microbacterium sp. RNAcentral's name for it is "bacterial SSU rRNA". It matches the Rfam family "Bacterial small subunit ribosomal RNA", at positions 201 to 806 of the family's 1533-position model. The record is from RNAcentral. Lineage: Bacteria; Bacillati; Actinomycetota; Actinomycetes; Micrococcales; Microbacteriaceae.
GGAAAGAUUUUUCGGUCUGGGAUGGGCUCGCGGCCUAUCAGCUUGUUGGUGAGGUAAUGGCUCACCAAGGCGUCGACGGGUAGCCGGCCUGAGAGGGUGACCGGCCACACUGGGACUGAGACACGGCCCAGACUCCUACGGGAGGCAGCAGUGGGGAAUAUUGCACAAUGGGCGGAAGCCUGAUGCAGCAACGCCGCGUGAGGGAUGACGGCCUUCGGGUUGUAAACCUCUUUUAGCAGGGAAGAAGCGAGAGUGACGGUACCUGCAGAAAAAGCGCCGGCUAACUACGUGCCAGCAGCCGCGGUAAUACGUAGGGCGCAAGCGUUAUCCGGAAUUAUUGGGCGUAAAGAGCUCGUAGGCGGUUUGUCGCGUCUGCUGUGAAAUCCCGAGGCUCAACCUCGGGCCUGCAGUGGGUACGGGCAGACUAGAGUGCGGUAGGGGAGAUUGGAAUUCCUGGUGUAGCGGUGGAAUGCGCAGAUAUCAGGAGGAACACCGAUGGCGAAGGCAGAUCUCUGGGCCGUAACUGACGCUGAGGAGCGAAAGGGUGGGGAGCAAACAGGCUUAGAUACCCUGGUAGUCCACCCCGUAAA